CAUGUCGUCUCUGUGCGCCACGCACUGUGGCCUUUCUCGACACCUGCCAUAUCACGCCGUGUUGCCCCCACCCGCGGUCGCCACCGCCGCAUAGCGCCGCCUCCAGCCGGCCCCGUCCGCGCCCUCCUCGCCGGAAGCCCAUGGUCGUGCGCCACCGCCACGCCGCACUCUCCUCGUCGAGAAUCCACGCUGGCUCGCCGCACUGGCCCCGCCCUGACCGCUAGUGCCUUGCUGGGCCCUCCUCGCUGUGCCGCAGCGCCGCCUCCAGUGCAAGCCACACUUGCCUCACCACGCAGCCCUCGUCCUCGACUGUGACUCCGUCUGUUCACCAUCACCAUCGUGACACCGGCUGCAAGAGGUAUUCUAUAUUUACCGUUGUGAUCGAUUCGAUGGAGUUGCGGUCUCGUGGGGGCUCUUCGUCGCAGGCGGGUUGUGGUAGCAACCAUAGUCGACGCUCGAGCAUGGAGGAGGCUGUGAGGGAGCAGCAAGAAAGGUUUCGUGAAGAGAUGCGGUGACAACAAGUAGCACUUAUCCGACAACAAUCAGAGUACAUGGAUGCUUACAACGCACAUGCGCAACAAGCAAUGAACAUUCUUGGUUUCUAGAGCAGGCACAACAACAACCAUUCGUUUUCCCUCAAUUUCAGCCGCUGAUGCCUCAAUGGGGAUUACAUGCUCCGACACCUCCUCCAGAUUAGAUCCGUCGUUAAGUAUCUCUAUUCGAAUGUAUUAUGAACAAGAACUUACUAUGAAAUAACUCCGGAAUUGGGGAUUAUAGGCAACAACAUGACACCACUGAUGAUACCAGCACAAGGAGGAGCUUCUGGAGGGGAGGGGGCUACCACAGAGAAGACUCUAAACCAGAUAGACGACUUCGUAAACAACUUCUUCGCUUCUGGAUUUAGUGGUUACAACUCAAACGACCACUAUAUGUGAUGAUAUAACUCUUGUCCUGAAUUUGGCCGAUGCGAUGGAUUUGAUAUAACUCUUGUGGUGAAUUUGAUAUGAAAUGUGAUGGCUUCUGAUAUAUUUGUGAGUUUGUGUUGGAUUGUAAUGGAUUUGUGUGGUGCUUUGCUGGACUGUGAUGUAUUUGUGAGGAAUUGUGGUGAAUUAUGAUAUUUAUGGUGAAUUUGUGUAAUUCUGAAAA
This is a long non-coding RNA of Zea mays, 1146 nucleotides long. RefSeq lists it as uncharacterized. Lineage: Eukaryota; Viridiplantae; Streptophyta; Magnoliopsida; Poales; Poaceae. The record is from RefSeq and is a predicted model, not a curated record. The transcript has 5 exons.